UUCCGCUGACCGGUAAGAUCAAGCGAGCAAUCAAUGUCCUCAAUCACGAUAAUAGACUUACUAGGCGUGUCAAUAAGUAGCUUCCUCAGCUCCGUGUUAUCCUUCACCGUCGUUAAUUCGAGAUCAUAGACGUCGUAGUUCAUGAGGUUCGACAUGGCAGCAAUCAUGGUAGACUUUCCAGUGCCUGGUGGCCCAUAAAGGAGAUAGCCGCGCUUCCAAGCCUUGCCGAUUUUCGCAUAAUACUCUUUCCCCUUGCUGAACUUGAUGAGGUCAUUGACAAUCUCUUCCUUCUUUUUGGGGUGCAAGGCCAAGGUCUCAAAUGUUGCCGGGUGCUCAAAGACUACAUGGCUCCACAUUGUCCCUCUGUAUGUGUACCAAUUCUGGGAAGGAUUGUUCACGUUAAGCUUUCGUUGUCUGUUGCCAACUGUUAUUGCUUUCCCCUCUUUGAUCACGUGAGCAAGAUAAGCCCCUGUGACGACAUUUCGAUGGCGUCUGUGGAAGGUGAGCUUAUAAUGCUGCUUCUCAUCAGACUGAGGGUAGAAAGAAAAUGAAGUCUGUCGAGUCUCUCUUUUCACCAACACCCACGAGACUUUAAUGCCUUGAAAUUCAUCAGUCACUUCUUCAUGGUCGUCUAUGGCAAGGACCACAGACUUGCUGUCUUUGACAUCAUGAGCUUUUAGACGUCUCGCAUUUGUCGAAGACUUGGUGCUGAGGUAGCUUUGGAUGGCAGAAUAGACUUCGCUGCGUCGGCGAAACUCGUUGGUGUUCUCAUCAAAGAUGAUUUGGAUGUAAGGGUAGAAAAGUUUCACUAAUUUGUGGCGAUAUUUAUCGACAUAGUAGCGAAAUUGAGGGGGAAGGUAUUGUCGAAAAAUAGUGUACACAAACAUGACACUGGCAAUGACUGAGCCCAGUUGAGCCCCCAUUUCCCCUAUCCUCAUUAUCAUCUUCCUCUGCAGUCUCUCUCUUCUUUUGGAAAUUAACUGUUGAAGGUUAGGGUUGUUCUUACGAAGACGAAAGACAAGGUUUGGUUUAUAUAGAAGAGACUCAGCUUGGAAAUUUAGUUAUGUUAUGACCCACCCAAUUUCCCAGUGUUUUAAAAAAAACUAUAUUUCAUUGACUAAAAGAAACCAAGAGGAAGCUUGCUUAAUUGAUCGUUCGAAGCCCACCAAAUUUGACAAACAUCAGGUCACUGUCUUGACUAACGAUGGAAAAGCAUAACCCUUCCCCCUUUCCGGGUUAAUAAUAUGCAGAGCGCAGCCCUUCCCACUUGGCUGGUGAAUGUGCAGAGCAAUUACGCCAAAUAUAGACAAAGGAAAAAGAAUCUCGUAUUACAUGUCUAGCUACCAAAUCUGUGUAAGUUUCUAACGUAUUGGCAACUUCUGAUUGGAAAAAAUGGUUUCCAAGAUUUUGGGUUUGGCAUGUCAUUCAACUUGUAAUGCCAGCUGAAAUCAUAGAAGGCCAACAUGGAAAGAUGACGAUUCGUCGCAUGGUUUCUUUUUUGUUUGAUUCUGUUGACUAGCUGGUCCUGGUCCAGGGUGCUCCCAAAGAGAGGAGAUUAGGUCAUGCCAAAUAAAAUUGGGUUAUUUACUGAAGUGGUCUUCAAAUUUAUACCCGAGUUGCAUUUUGGUCCAUCAACUAAAUUAUUUGUUCAAAUGGUCCACCAACUCUUUAUUAAUCCGCGCAUUGGUCUUACCAUUACAUUCUUCAAUGUUGCCAUCAAAUAUACGGGUAAAACAAUCCAAUUCAAUAAAAUAGUAAAUAAAUUAAAAACUGAAAAAUAAAACAAUAAAAAAAAAAAACCUCUAUCCCUCUCCCACCUUCUUCUUCUUCAACAUUUUUUUCUGCUUGAACUGGUGCAUUUGGACAUCAUGGAUAGAUUGGGUUCGCCUAGAUGGGGUGCUGGGUAACAGAAACUGUAAGGGUAGGACCAACGCACCGAUUAAUAAAGAGUUUGUGGACCAUUUAAACGGAUUGAGAGACCAAAAUACAACUCGGGUAUAAAUUUAAGGACCACUUCAGUAAAUAACCCAAUUAAAAAUGUUAUGUGUGCUACUAAACUCCCCGAAAAAACUUCAAUAAGUAAGGAUGAUAAUUGAUAAAGCACAUACAAAAAUUGUCCACGAAACGAUCUACUAGUUAAAGUUGUUAAUGACAUAAAGUAAUGAACAUAUAAUUGACAUCUUGAGUAUGACACAAAGACUAACGUCACAUAUCUUCAAGAGGUUGUUUGUACCAUAACUGACCGAGCAACUAGCUAGGCUAGAUCAUUCGAGUGCCAUGCUUUGAGAGGUCAUCACCUUAGCCAAAGAAGCAUCACCACAAAUCACAACUCUAAGCAAAGCAAGAGGAGUCCCACAUCGAAAAACUACAAGAGAUGGAGACUCCCCCUCACCUAUAAAAGAAGACUACUCUCCUAUGAGAAAGGGACUCUCUCUUCUGGAUCCAUCUCUAUCCUAGGCUUCUCACUUGUUAUCUUUAUAUUUGGGUCUAAUCCUCUUGUACAAAUGUAAACAAACAUUAUCAUAAUGAGAACACUAUUCUCCGUGGACGUAGCCCAUCGUUCGGGUGAACCACGUAUAUCUUGUCUUCUAUAUGUUUAUCACUUACCCAAAUCCUCACACACUUGGUGAAGGUCCUCACCUUCAUCCAUCAUCUAUCACACCUCAUCACUAAGUUGGACUCAACCUUGGCCUAACUAUUUUGAGCAUCAACAGUUUGGCGCCGUCCGUGGGAAUCGACACAAGAAGCUUCUGUCGUUCUUCCCUUCCUCUAGUGCCCUUCGGCACCCUUUCAAUCAUCACCUUGUAACUUACCAUUUAGCACCAUCUGUGCCGAAGACACCCUGGGGUUUGAAGGCACCAAUAUGUCGAAGUCAUCUAUUUGCUGAAGCAACUCACCUUUCGGUCACUUUGAGUAGUUUCAAUUUGAAGGUCGCCAAAUAUUCCAAUUCACCAAAAAGCAUCACUUUGCAUGGCCAAGGGGACAACCCACCAAUUCAAUCCAAAGGGAAAGCCACGUGAUUCACCUCCAAGAGAAGUGCAAUAUUUCUUAUCUUCCUAUUAUUAUUUAAUUCUUAGGAGAUGCAUAUUUUAUUAAUAUAUUGGCAUACCCACGUGACUUCUACAUAUAUGGUUCGGCACCAUGCUUUCCAAAGGAUAAAAUUCCUCUUCAUAUCUCAUAUUAUUUUAGCAUAUUUUACAAUCGGUGAAUAACCAAAUACCCAUCUUGUGAGUGCAGACCCAACUCAUAAGAACGCCCACUCUGGGUAAUUGGCAAGCUAAACAUGAUAAGGUGCCCAUACACUCAAGACCAGCCUCUGUACGCCACACUGUAGCAUCUUCUCUCCAAUACGAAGUCAAACUCAAAAUUGGUGUGGGGCACUUGGACAAUCCUACCGUGGCAGACUUACUGGAUCAACAAGCAAACAGGUUUCCAUACCUCCUGAACGACAAGCUCAAGACAAGGGGACUUGAAUGUUAAAAAACUCUCUCUGCCGCAACCUCUCAAAGCACCCAAAACUUAUUGAUGGCUUACCAAUCGGCAGGACAAUUGCAGAACGUGAAUGAGCUCAUCGCAUGGAUGCUUCCGAAUCGGGGCUCGAGCUCUGAAGUUUUGUGCCAAAUCACCAAAGGUCUUGACGGAAAUCAAUGAGCCCAGCUCCACCGACCCUUCCCAAGCUAAUUACUCAUGCGCAAGGCCCGAUAACUUUCAAAACAAGAUCAAGCCGUGACCCACACAGCCCGGCUUCCAAAUCUGCAAACACCCCCGGGAUCAGCCCACUUGCCGAAGACAAAAAAAGUAGCGCAUAAAGGAAUUUCAAAAGGCCUUGCCGAACGGCAAGGCCCAUGCGGAAGAUGAUGAAGGCUUCGAAAACUACACACCUCAGCCCCAGCCAAGGUCACCGGAGUCCAGCUCCAGUUCACAUCGACUUUCUCCUUCCAAGACCAUGAUUCAAAGCCUUGCCGAAUCUGCAGAUCACCAGCAGCCAAAUCUUGCCAAAACCACCACAGCUCACCUUCUAAAACAUCUUGGACUCAGCUCCAACUCCUGCCCAAGCCCACGUAACGCCAAAAAAGAGCACCCAGCCACUAAACUUAUCAAGACACCCAAUGAGAAGGAAAGUGUCAACUACUUCAGAGAGUUAUAAACUUGACUGUCAAAAUCCAUGCUCAAACAAAGGAACAGCACCUCAGCUACAAAAAACAUAAAAGCUUCAGCAGCUUCAAAUUCAACGGCACUCAAGGGCUGCACCAAGUUCCUCGACAAGUGUGGCCUCCUUAAACAGCCCUUCAGCAAGCAAGGGUGCUGAAAGUGGUCAACCCCGUUCCGACACCACAGUACUGAACCCAACACCCUUGCCGAACGGCAAGGGCCGUGCUGAAUUUAUGAAGGCCUCUCGACUUCCUCAGCUCCAAAAAUCCCGCAGAAGGUCUAAAUGCCGAACUGCAAAAGCUGUUCAACCCGAAAGUCUCGCGGAAGGCAAAUGCACGAAAAGAAAAAGUCACAAAACUCCAAAUCCUGCCGAACGACAAAAUCCAGCUCCCAGCCUCACUCCUUGCCAAAGCCAAGGUUUAUGAAGAGGCCUCAAAAACUUUCCAAAUAACUCUUGCCGAACGGCAAGGGCUGUGGAGCACAAAAUCUGCUUCAAACCUUCUCUGCCGAAGACAGAAGCCCUUCUCGAGAAUGAUCUUUUUUCAGCACUGCCUUGCCAAAGGUCCAAACUCAAAUAUAAUCUGUCUUCAAAAAUCCCAGCUCCAAGAAGCCCUCUUUCACGAAAAACCCACCCUUGCCAAAUGGCAAGGGCUGAGCAAAGGCAAUUGGCAGAUCUUGAAAAGUCUUACCGAAUAUACCUUGAACCCAGGUCGUGCUACCGAAGCCUAUCUUUCCAACAACGAAACUCCUUCCCAGCCAACCUUGCCGAACGGCAGGGUUCGUGCUGAAGUGUUCUAAGGUAUCGCCAAAAGUCCAGCCUAUUUGAUGAGGGCCAAGACCAAGGAAGCUCGCAAGAUAGCCUUACCGACCUCACAAGCUCACAACAUCAUGGUGCCGAAGUUGGGGAACCUCACGAAAUCACCCUUGCCGAAGCUUCCUUGCCGAAACUUUGACGAAAAGAUACUUAUGUCAACACUUGCCAAAGCCCCUAGCUGAAGAGUGCCCAGACCAACUUGCUGAAGAUACCACAGGCUCCACAAAAACUUUCAAUCAACCCUUGCCGUUCGGCAAGGGUUGUGCAGACAAUAGAAGGCCCAGCUCCAACUAAGGCUCGGCUCUAAAACAAACUCCUAAGGCCAAGCUCCGUACACAAGCUUGGAGGCCCACGAAGUUGCGCCAGGCCUCCUUUUUACCAAAGGCCCAAACCCAACCUCCUUCCAAGAAAGAUCUUGCUGAACACACAAAAAAAAAAAAAAAAAAAAAAAAAAAAAAAAGCCUUGCCGAACGGCAGGCAUUGUGCAAAAGGAAUAAAGGGACUCGUAAAGUCAUCCCCAAGACACCCUUGUCGAAGCUUUAAGGCCCUAGCCCAAGGUACUUAGGCCCUAGAGAAAAUCAUUCCCACUGGACCAUGCCGAACGGUAAGGCCCAUGCUCAGGCCAUGGCUUACAUCACGGCAAAUUUCUCUUGCCUAACCCCUUGCAGCCCAACUCCACAGAGCACAAACCCCAGGCCUUUGCCAAAGCCCAGCUCAUGAGGCCCACCUACCAAGAACUUGGAAACUUGCAGGAUCAAACCCUUCAAGUUCUUGUCGAAGCCUUGAAGGCCCAACUCCAAGGACCAGCCCUUGUCAAAGCCCAACUUGCGCAGUCUUGGCCCCCCCUUGCCGAACGGCAAUGGUCAUGUACAUGGCCCACCUGCCAAGCGCUCACUACUUGCCUCAACUCUCCAUACCUGGGUUCACGCAAGUUCAAGCGACCCAGCCUCCUUGCCAAAAACCCAAACUUUGGCCACCAUGGUCCCAGCCUCUUGCUAUAUGCUAAGCCAACUAAUGCAUGGUACCUUUGCCGAACAACAAGGGAUUCGCUCAGGCAAAGUGAUGUGCUAAUGGGUCUCUCUCAUUGCCGAAGCCAAGACCAGGCCCAGCCCCACGUGGCCCAGCGCAUCCCACUUGCCGAAACAUCGGGCCACAGCCACAAGGUACCUAACAAAAAAAAAAGCUAUUAUUAUUAUUAUUUCUUCAAAUAAUAAUAAAAAAAUGCAUUCUUGCAUUUUUCCCUUCAGCACCCUUGUGCCUUAGGCAUCCCCUUUGCCUUCGGCUUUGGCAUCCCCGUGCCUAGCCACAUCGCCUUGCGAUGUGCAAGCUUUGUAUCACCUUCGGCACCCUUGUGCCCCAUUGUCUUGCGACAUGUAAUUCUUAGGCCUUCGGCACCCCCGUGCCCAAGCCACAUUGCCUUGCGACAUGCACGCUUUGUGUCGCCUUCGGCACCCUCAUGUCUAGGCACAUCGCCUUGCGACAUGCAAGCUUUGUGUCACCUUCGGCAUCUCUUUUGCCUUUAACACCUCCGUGCCUAGCUGCAUUGCCUUGCAAACAUGCAAGCUUUGUGUCACCUUCGGCAUCCCAUUUGCCUUCAGCACCUCCGUGUCUAGCUGCAUUGCCUUGCAAACAUGCAAGCUUUGGGUCUCCUUCGACACCCUCGUGCCUAGGCGCAUCGCCUUGCGACAUGCAAGCUUUGUGCCUUUGACAUCCCCUUUGCCUUCGGUACCCCCAUGCCUAGCUGCAUUGCCUUGCAAACAUGCAAGCUUUGUGUCGCCUUCGACACCCUCGUGCCUAGCCACAUUACCUUGCAAAAUACUAGCUUUGUGUUGCCUUUGGCACCCCCUUGCCUAACCACACCUUGUGUCGCCUUCGGCACCCCAGUGCUUGGCCACAUCGCCUUGCGACACACAAGCUUUGUGCCUUCGGCAUUCCUCUGCCCUCGGCACCUCCGUGCCUAGUUACAUCGUCUUGCGACAUGCAAGCUUUGUGCCUUCGGCACCCCCGUGCCUAGCCACAUUGCUUUGCGACACGCAAGCUCUGUGUUAUCUUCGGCACCCUCAUGCCUAGCCACAUCGCCUUGCGACAUGUAAGCUUUGUGCCUUCGGCACCCCUUUACCUAGCCAGAUCGCCUGGCAACAUACAAGCUUUGUGCCUUCGGCAUCCCUUUGCCUUCGGCAUCCCUUUGCCUUCGGCACCCCCGUGCCUAGCCACAUCGUCUUGCAACAUGCAAGCUUUAUGUCUUCGGCACCCUCGUGCCUAGCCACAUUACCUUGCAACAUACUAGCUUCGUGUUGCUUUCGGCACCCCCGUACCUAGCCACACCUUGUGUCACCUUCGGCACCCCCGUGUCUAAGCACAUCGCCUUGCAAACAUGCAAGUUUUGUGUCACCUUUGGCACCCUCGUGCCUAGGCCCAUCGCCUUGCGACAUACAACUUUGUGCCUUCUACAACCUCUUAAACUUCGGCACCCUCGUGCCAAGUUCUUUCCCUUCCAAAUGUCUUUCUUACCUGGGGACUUGGGGGACUAUGGGCAGUGCACUAUACAGCUUGGAAGAUGAAUUAUGGUGUUGCUCGGCCAGUGCACUUAAAAUUACAAGUCCCCAUCCAAGAAGUACCUUCUUACUCGAGAACUUGGGGGGCUACUGUUUGUACCAUAACUGACCGAGCAACUAGCUAGGCUAGAUCAUUCGAGUGCCAUGCUUUGAGAGGUCAUCACCUUAGCCAAAGAAGCAUCACCACAAAUCACAACUCUAAGCAAAGCAAGAGGAGUCCCACAUCGGAAAACUACAAGAGAUGGAGACUCUCCCUCACCUAUAAAAGAAGACUACUCUCCUAUGAGAAAGGGACUCUCUCUUCUGGAUCCAUCUUUAUCCUAGGCUUCUCACCUGUUAUCUUUAUAUUUGGGUCUAAUCCCCUUGUACAAAUGUAAACAAACAUUAUCAUAAUGAGAACACUAUUCUCUGUGGACGUAGUCCAUCGUUCGAGUGAACCACGUAUAUCUUGUCUUCUAUAUGUUUAUCACUUACCCAAAUCCUCACACACUUGGUGAAGGUCCUCACCUUCAUCCAUCAUCUAUCACACCUCAUCACUAAGUUGGACUCAACCUUGGCCUAACUAUUUUGAGCAUCAACAGAGGUAAUGACCUAAUGCCUUGUUCAAGGGGCAUAACUUCUUCACGGGGUCACACCAUUUUCUUUGACUUCUGCAACUGAUGUUCCUUUCAGUUCAUCUUUUGUUCCAUUACAUUUCACCUCGUCUUUAGCAUUACAAGAUAUUUCCUUCUCUUCCUCUUCUUUCUCUACCUUUUAUUUUGCUUCUUCCUCUGCUUCUUGCUUGCUUCUUCCUCUGCCUUCACUCUUGCCUCCACCUUAGCAGCCUCAAAUCAAGCUCUUCAAACAAGAGUCUGCAUCCCCUGUAUCAGAUUUAGGCAUCAAAUUCUCAGCAACAUCAGCCGGGGUCAUAUUGAUUUCCCCCAACAAACGCUCGAUGGAUCCAAACGACUCAUGUGAUUCUACAUCCAAAUAAUUCCUGGCAAGCACUUUGAAUGCUUCAUCGGGUAGUCUUUAAAAUAAAAUAAAAUUUUAAAUAUACUAUAUGUAUUUUAAUAUGAUUUUAGUAGUCCACCCAAAUGCCUAGUAACCCACCAUUAUCCAUUUAACUUUAUAGGUCUAUAAUCAUCUUAUAUUUAAAUUGUUUGCUUAUUUAAGAAACAUAAUCUCUUAAUAAACAUUCGUAACUUUCUACAUUUUACUAUUUUCUCCCAUUGUUUCCUUCUUCAAUAUUCAAUGUUAACGGUCAUCAUAUCACUCUUUACAAUUAACUAACAGGGUUGAUAUAAUUUAAUGUAUACUUUUAUUUCUAAAAUUACUAUAUAUAAAAAAAUCAUUAGAUUUUAAGCCAAUAAGUUUAGCUACUCCACCCGUUGAAAAAUUUAUGAUUCCGCAUUGGCUUCGUAGCAACAAUAGGACAACUGAAUAUGCUUGUCCAUUCUUCCCCUUCUAAUGAAAGCAAGAUCGAGUUUGUCCACAUAGUUAGGGGUGAACACAAUCAGUCUCUCCUCUCCACAAGCUGACCAAAUCCCAUCAGUAAAGUUCAACAGCCCAGACAAAGUGACCUUGCUCGUUGUGGCUUCUUCUUCUUUAGGCCUUUUAGGAAUUGAGUCCUUUUCAUCUCCAUCUUUCUUCUCCUUCUCUUCCUUCUUUUUCUCUCGAUGUUCGGUAAGAUCAAGCGAGCAAUCAAUGUCCUUGAUCACGAUAAUCGCCUUGCCAGUUAUGGCGAUCAACAUCUUCCUCAGCUCAGUGUUGUCCUUGACAAUAGUUAAUUCGAGAUCAUAGACAUCAUAGUGUUGAAGAAUACACAUAGUCCCACAUCGAAAACUUAACAAAAUAGAAAGUCUCGUAUAAUGAAUGGCUCCACUCCUGAUAAUAUCGAGGCAUUGUGUAUAAAACCCCACACCUGCUAAACAGGUGGUUAAGUUGUGGACAAUAUCGAUGUUGCUGGGUCAAGGGUUUGUCCCUCUGAAAUUUUAACACAUAGUUCAUGAGGUUAGACAUGGCAAAGAUCAUGGUAGACUUGCCGGUGCCCAGUGGCUCGUAAAGGAGAUAUCCACGCUUCCCAGCCUUGCCAAUUUUCUUGUAGUAGUCUUUCCCUUUGCUGAACUUAAGGAGAUCAUUGAUGAUCGCUUGCUUCUCUUUUGGGUCCAUUGCCAAGGACUCAAAUGUUGCAGGGUGCUCAAACACCAUAUGGCUCCACUUAGCCUCCAAUCGUGGAUCCAAGAUGAGCAAACUUGUCUGCUGGAACCAUGUUUGCAACUUUGCCUAUUCUUUCUUGGCCUCUGUAUCUUCUUGUUUUUCUGAGAAGAUGUAUGUAUCUAUGUAUGUUACCAUUUAUAUACACGGGGGUGAAGAUUAUUUUAUUAUAUUUUAUUGGAAAAGGCCUUGGUGUGAGUCGGUAUUGAUUAUUCUGUGUGAAUACCAUCAAACAUUUCUGGUCCAAAAUUGACUGGUAGAUUUUGUCUCAAUGCCAGAAGUCGGCAAAGGCUGUGUGGAGACGUGGACUCGUUUUCUUGCUCGAUGGGUAAAUAAGCGAAAUGGAAAUUAUUUAUUCCGUGACAUCAUUAAUUAACAUCAUAUAACAAUGAUCUCACAAUCCUUUAGCUCAGCAUCAUACACAUUCUGUCUAAGCAGUUUCCUUUCAGUUUGAAUUAUAGUCAACGGAAAUUUGGAAAAGAAAAUGCCUCUUUGAUCUUAGGAGAUUCUCCAAUAAGUAUUUUAUGUUAAUGAUUACUUACAUAUUUCUAAUCUCGACCGUUAGAUUGAAGGUAUGUUGCAUAAAAACAUGUAACCAAUCCUUAACGUAAAUACUUAUUGGAGAAUAAUUCCUUCGAUCCCGAAGUAAAUCAUGAACCAAAACGUUUGCCAAGUAAGAAGGAAAUAUCAAUAAGUAGACACAGUAAAAAGAAGGAAAAAUCAGUUGUUGCAACUUAAGCUUAACAUGAAAUUAAAAAUGCAUAUAGACAGAAUAUUUUACAAGUCCAUUGAACGAUUCUUUUUACACAUAAACAAAAACACAGAUUGAUCAGGGCAGAUUGUUUUCUUAUUACAAUAUGUACAGAAAGGUUGAAAUUAUAUACAUACUUUCACUGGUUUCAUCUGAUGUUCCAUUCAUUUUGCAUCUUCCUCUUUAGCUGAUGUUCCGUUACAUUUCACUUCAUCUUUAGCAGGCUCCUGUUUCUCCUUCUCUUCUUUUUCUGCCUUCAGUUUUGCUUCUUCCUCUGCCUUCUUACUUGCUUCUUCUUCCUCAGCCAUCUUUCUUGCCUCCUCCUUUGCACUCUCAAGAGCUUCAAUAAAUUUCUUCAAGCAAGAGUCUGCAUCCUCUGUAACAGAGUUGGGCAUCAAAUUCUCUGCAACAUCAGCAGGAAUCAUAUUGGUUUCACCCAACAAACGCUCAAUGGUUUCGAACAAUUCAUGAGACUCUAAAUCCAAAUAGUUCUUGGCAAGCACUUUGAAUGCCUCAUAGCAGCAGUAGGACAACUCUAUGUGCUUGUCCAUCCUUCCUCUUCUUAUGAGAGCAGGAUCAAGUUUGUCCACAUAAUUAGUGGUAAACACAAUCAGUCUUUCCCCACCACAAGCUGACCAAAUCCCAUCAAUAAAGUUCAACAGCCCAGAAAGAGUAACCUUGCUUGGUUGGCUCUCUUCUUUUUCCAUCUUUUUCUUAACUGGAUCCUUUUCUUCAUUAUCCUCCUCAUCCUUCUCCUUUUUCUUCUUCCGCUGACCGGUAAGAUCGAGCGAGCAAUCAAUGUCCUCGAUCACGAUAAUAGACUUACUAGGCGUGUCAAUCAGUAGCUUCCUCAGCUCAGUGUUAUCCUUCACCGUCGUUAAUUCGAGAUCAUAGACGUCGUAGUCCAUGAGGUUCGACAUGGCUGCAAUCAUGGUAGACUUUCCAGUGCCUGGUGGCCCAUAAAGGAGAUAGCCGCGCUUCCAAGCCUUGCCAAUUUUCGC
RNAcentral lists this long non-coding RNA (11469 nucleotides) under Prunus persica (peach). Its description in RNAcentral is "long non-coding RNA (PPER_LNC003906)". The record is from RNAcentral. Lineage: Eukaryota; Viridiplantae; Streptophyta; Magnoliopsida; Rosales; Rosaceae.